This is a long non-coding RNA of Passer domesticus (house sparrow), 2985 nucleotides long. RefSeq lists it as uncharacterized. NCBI's taxonomy places the organism in Eukaryota, Metazoa, Chordata, Aves, Passeriformes, Passeridae. The transcript is spliced from 6 exons. The record is from RefSeq and is a predicted model, not a curated record.
CUCAAGGCCCCUCACCAUCUCCACAGCCCUCUUUGACACUCGCUAAUGGCCUCAUAGCCUUCUUAUAUUGUGACACCCCAAACUGCCCCCAGCACUGGAGAGAAGCAGCUCGUGGUCUUUCCAGGAGGCAGCUGAGCAGACUGCCUGAAGGGCAGGAGAGGGCAUCAUGCCAGCUGGGAGGAAGGUCAGCCUGGGUCACACACCUCCAUUCCUAGCAUGGCGUCCACCUCCACCAGUCUGGACAAGCUCAUGGCAAACAACUCUGUGUGGUCCUCAGAGCCUGCCAGGGGGAGAAAUCCCUAUUGCUAAGGAAGUCCCAGGCAGAGGAUGAGGAGAGGGGACAGAACAAGGCUGUGAAGGAGAUGAGAACUGAUCAGUACAAAGUAGGUCAAGAACUCCUGAGAGACACAGUGACUGCUUUUGAUUUUUCUACCUUGAAGUUCAAAGAGCAUGAGUGUUUCUCCAGAAGAGGGUAGAUGGUACUAGAAAAAGGCGUGGAAAUGAUCUUACCUCAGAGAGGAACAGCAACGAGGAACUUGGAAGACUUUCACCUGUCUCAUACAUUGGAAUGUGCCUGUCUUGCUACACACAGGUUAAGCUCACACCUCAGUCUUCUGGAUUUGGAUCCAGGUUCUUUCUGGAAGCUGAUUGGAUGUGAUGUUUUUGUGGACAAGAUGUGUGGAUCUGUGGUGAUGAGGGAUCAGCAGUUCACAGUCAGCUAUUGUGACCAACAUGGUGCAGAUUUAUUCUUCCCAAAGAAGUCUUACAAAGUUAAUAAUCUAGACACUAGGUUUAAGUGCAGUAAUAGAUAGGUCAGAAUGCAGAAAAAACAAGCUGUAGGAGGUGCAUUCACUGGAGCUAUUAGAAAUCUGUGGGACAAGUUUACUCGUGCCUGCAGUGAGACACAUUUGAACAUACAAAUGGCGUGCAUAUCUCACUCUCUGUAUUCACGGAGUAGAGCUCCUCAAGUGCUGCCAGUGGUAUUUUACUGAAGCCAGAUUAUGUCUCAAAGCACACAGGCACUUUAGCAAGGAAGGAAGGAAUGGUCCUUUUCAUGGAGAACACUGCCAUCUUGUGCACAAUUGCAUUUACUUAGUGCCCGACAUGAUUGUGAGAAAUUAUACUGCAUAACUGGCUCACUCUUCUUGCCUCUCAUGAAAACUCCAGCAGAGUUCAAGCCCUUGAAUGAAGAAGUAUCUCGAAACAGCAUCAGGUGUUCCAGUCCUCAAGCAAUGAUAACCAGAUCUGAACUGCUUUCUGGGCUAGCACAUUUUUCGUUUUUGUCUGCCCAGGACCUUCAAUAAGUAUACUUAAUGAAGAAAGCCAGCUGUAUUGCAAUGAAAUCAAUAAAAUGGAAAAACAGGACUGACAAAGUUCUACAAAAGCUUUUGCUCUUUAACCAGUGGAAUAGCAGAAUUUAUUCACAGACUAUCUGCAUGUGCUGGAAGCCAUGCAGACUCACUCUAAGUACAGCAAGAGUAGAGAACUCCUGUGCAGGAAAAUCUGGCACAGAUGGACAAAUAGACAAACCAACAACUACUCUCAUUUAGCAAUUGCCCUCACACUGUGCUUCAUAGCUCACUGCAGAUAUAAAUUACAGAAAAACUUGAAAUACCAAUAUAUGGUCAGUAAGCCGGAACAUCAUGGUGAGGAAUAUGAGACCCAGAGAAGCUAGUUUUUUUAUGUAAGGAAGAGCUGCCAGAGCUAUAACAGGAAAAGCCAAUCCCAUUUCCAUGCCUCAUCCAUUACUAUGUCCUCCCCAAAAUGCAGAGCAAUGUGUAUCACAGCAGCCUGGGAGUCCUUCUGCAGAGGUAUGAGACAGAUCAGGCACCCAUCAUUCUCAGGAUUUCCACACUACAUUGCCAUCCACAUUCUUUUGAUCAUCUCCUUCAUGCAGGAAGGUCUGCUUCAGCAAUACAGCUUUGGUUUUUCCUUUGGAAGAGCAGAGAUGCAGACACUCACCAUCCCUUGUCAGGUUCAUGCCACCGAACACCAAAGGCCCAAUGAACUGAGCUUUGAUGUCUCCCUCCAGGUACACAAAUAUCGUGGGCAGGUUCUUGUCGGGGUAGUUGGGAAUGCAGGUGGUAGAGAUAGCUUUGAUGAAUUUCACGUCUCUGAACUUCUUUGCAAGCCCACUCAUAUGUUGAUUUAUUAAGGCACAGAGUGGAAUUCUGCGAAGAACAGCAACAGACACACAUAAGGAGAAAACAAGAGACAACUUCAAAAGUAAACAGCUCCAGAAGAAAGGUCAGAAAUAUCAGAUCGAUGAGUUUCUGCAAUGACAGAAGUACCAGAAGCAACUUCUGUAUUCCAGCAUUCAAAGGAGAUCAGCACUACUAGAGAUUCUGGUGUGUGGUGGGUUUUUUGUCUGAAUAUAUUAAUAAUGCAACCUUCUCCUCUAUCCCCUUUUUAUUAUGGGAAAGUGGUUUAUGAAUUUAAGAUACUUAGAAAUUGCAUGAGCAAGGGCAAAAUAAAAACAAAACUGCUCCUGGAAGAAGCAAAAUAUGAUCAACACCUGAGGCAAUUAGAGACAAAGAACAACAGCAACUAUUUAUAACCUUUCAAAAAAAAAUCUAGCAACGUUAACAGACCUUUCUGACAAGGUCUUCUAUCAUGGUGACAGGACUGCAACCCUUGCUCACUCCAUUUGUAUGCCACUAGAAACCAAGCUAAAUACACACUGAUCCUUCCUAUUCACAGCCCCUUGCAUUUGAUCCAGAAUAACUUCCAAAGCUUGGAUAUUCCAGUGGCAGCAGCUACCUCUAUGGAAGCUGUAUGGUACACAUCUUGCUGUGUUGUACAGAUGUAUAAAAAAACCACUUCAUGGUAACAUCAUUCUAGAAUGGAGUUCAGCAAUCUUGACUCAACAGUAUUAAAAUUACUAAUUUGUUUUUAUUUCUUAGAAAUCCAAAAUUAGUCCUUAGUUCCACAAUAACUACACAAUUACCUUGGAGCAUUUCCAUAUAUUGACAGUGCAAGGUUUAA